UUCAACUAGACAAAAACCAAUUGACUGGUCAUUUACCCCAAACCAUUUGCCAAAAUAAAAAGCUUCAGAACUUCACCGUAAACUACAAUCGUCUUGAUGGCCCAAUUCCUAAAAGCUUUAAAGAUUGCAAAAGCUUUGUUAGAGUUCGGCUGGAGCAAAACCAAUUCACGGGAAAUAUAUCCGAAGAUUUUGGCAUUUAUCCUCUGCUUCAAUUUAUUGAUCUAAGCUACAAUAAUUUCAGCGGGGAAAUAUCAUCUAACUGGGGAAAGUGUCCAAAUUUGACAACGCUGCUGAUGGCAGGCAACAAAGUUAGUGGUACUAUUCCACCUGAAAUUGGAAAUGCAGCUCAGCUACAAGCACUUGAUCUUUCUUCUAAUAAAUUAGCUGGGAGUAUUCCUAAGGAAUUUGGAAGGUUGACUUCUUUGUUGAAGGUUUUUUUAAAAGACAAUCAGCUUUCUGAAGGUAUACCUUCAGAAUUUGGGUCGUUAGGUGAUCUUGAGUAUCUUGACCUGUCAGCAAACAGAUUGAGCCGAUCAAUUCCUGAAAACAUUGGAAACUUAGUUAAACUCAUCUACUUGAAUUUGAGCAGCAAUGAGUUCAGCCAACAAAUUCCAAUUCAGUUGGGGAAGUUAACUCACUUGUCGAAUUUGGAUUUGAGCAGAAACUUUCUCAAAGGAGAGAUACCAUCACAAUUGAGCAGUUUACAGAGCUUGGAGACGCUGAAUCUCUCCCACAAUAAUUUGUCUGGUUCUAUUCCAGAUAGUUUUGAAGAGAUGCAUGGUUUAGUGUUCGUCGAUAUAUCCUACAACGAAUUGGAAGGUCCCAUUCCUUCCAACAAA
Molecule: unclassified non-coding RNA, 839 nt
Filed under: Hevea brasiliensis (rubber tree)
Lineage: Eukaryota; Viridiplantae; Streptophyta; Magnoliopsida; Malpighiales; Euphorbiaceae
Source: RNAcentral